CAGCAGCCGCGGUAAUACGUAGGUGGCAAGCGUUGUCCGGAAUUAUUGGGCGUAAAGCGCGCGCAGGCGGUUYYUUAAGUCUGAUGUGAAAGCCCACGGCUCAACCGUGGAGGGUCAUUGGAAACUGGGGAACUUGAGUGCAGAAGAGRAGAGUGGAAUUCCACGUGUAGCGGUGAAAUGCGUAGAGAUGUGGAGGAACACCAGUGGCGAAGGCGACUCUUUGGUCUGUAACUGACGCUGAGGCGCGAAAGCGUGGGGAGCAAACAGGAUUAGAUACCCUGGUAGUCCACGCCGUAAACGAUGAGUGCUAAGUGUUAGAGGGUUUCCGCCCUUUAGUGCUGCAGCAAACGCAUUAAGCACUCCGCCUGGGGAGUACGGCCGCAAGGCUGAAACUCAAAGGAAUUGAC
This 407-nucleotide ribosomal RNA is filed under the name uncultured Bacillus sp. RNAcentral describes it as "bacterial SSU rRNA". It matches the Rfam family "Bacterial small subunit ribosomal RNA", at positions 509 to 914 of the family's 1533-position model. Lineage: Bacteria; Bacillati; Bacillota; Bacilli; Caryophanales; Bacillaceae. The record is from RNAcentral.